UCCCAUCCGUCGACUGCCUCUCCCUCUCCCUCUCCCUCUCCUCUUCUCCAGAAUCCAAUUUCUCCCCCAAAUUGAAAAUGAAGAACCCUAGACUCCAACUCCACCGCCAUUUCCCGUCACCAUCGCCGACCCCCCGGCAGCCCUUCUUCGCGCCUAACGGAGGUGUUCCGCCGUCUCCGACGCUACCUCUCUCCCUCUCUUUCCAUCUCACACUCAAAUUCCCAGUUUAGAACUUGAGGUCAAACCCUAGUUUCCCUUCUCCCUCUUUCUUCUCGGCGAACUUCGCCGCUGCACCGUCCGCCACGCACUCCGUCGCCGGAACCAUCUUCCUCACCCUCAAUUUCACGCCGCAAAUCCCCAAAUGGGGAAACCCUAAAUCGAAGAGGGCUCGACGGCGCCUCGCCCGCCGGCCACCCCGAUCGGUACACCUUCGCACUACCGCCGUCGUCGCUUUCUUCCUCGGCGUCUCGCGUUGGGCGCCUCCCCUGCCUUCGCGGCGUUGUCGACGCGGAACAAGAAUGGCCGUCGCCUCCUUGGUGGAACCGCCGCCGAUGUCGCCCGCCUAGGCUCACGCUGCCGCCGCUGUCUCUCGGCCUAGAAACAGUGAUGCUGCUGUCAUGGUGCAGUCGGUGUAAUUGGCGCCGGGUCAGCCUCCUCGCUCCAUACACCUACGCCUGCCGUCCCUUCGCCGUCGACACAGCAGCUGUCUCGCAGCAGCUUCUGGGGUUUCGUCGUCCAUUGAUCUCGCUCAAGCUAAGUCCCCUACUUGUUCAUUGUUUGGUGUACUACUUCCUUAUCCUUAAGUUAUGCUAUUUUUAGGAAUUUGGGGUGUGGAUUCAGUAGAAAAUAGUUCGACAAUUUGAGCUCGAUUGGAGUGAUUCUCCUAUACGCCUAAAUUCCAGUUAUGAUUUAACAUGCUAUCUAUAAGCUUUAGGCAGUGGCUUGUGAGGAUAGUGUCAUAUGGGUUGCUACUGUCAUUGUUGAGAUUCUACCUAUGUAAUGGUUGUUUCUUGCUAUUGAUGUGAGGAGUCUAUUGAAAUCCUAAGUUCUCAGCUUUCUAUUGGUUUGUUAUACAUGAUGCAGGUGUGGUGUUAUGGGGAUUACCUCUUGUGACUGUGAUGGAAUGUGGCUGCCUAGUUGUUGCUCACAACUGCUCCACUUUCUUCUCUAUGCGGCUGGUAUUUGCAGUGUGUGUGGUAAAGGGGACUUGAUGUGUGUUCCUUUGAGGGAAUUAUAUGGGCUGAUUCCUUUGUUUCUUAUGCACAGUACAUCAUUUGUCCUUGAUCCCCUUGCAGCCUUUCAUUUAAGGCAUUUUGGUGCUACUCUGCUCACUAACUCCAUCUUGUUACUACAUGAAAACCUAGUACUUGGCCAGUGAUUGAGUUUGUUUGUUGUGGAAAGUGCACAAUGAGAGUGUAAGGCGGUUAACUGCAGCUUUGUAGGGUUGCUGCAGCGGAUGGGACAGAUGUUGCAGGCUGACCUUGCCAUUUUUGGGCAAGGCUCAUUUUCUUUAUCGAAAGGAACUAUGAACUGAUCACAUCCCGCUGCCAACUUGCUGAUCCGGGCCCAACGGGCCGUCGUAAAUCGGGCCGAAGGAAGGGGCCGAAGCUUAUCAUUUCUAAAUUGUAAUAGGGUAGUGCUUUUCCAAGCUUUGUUUCUUUCAAACAUGUAUGAAACAUUUAUAAAAGUUAGAAUGUAUGCCUUUCGAGCACCCUUAGUUCGAAAUAAAACAAAUAUUGUCGUUC
Long non-coding RNA from Salvia splendens (bonfire salvia), 1745 nucleotides. RefSeq lists it as uncharacterized. The record is from RefSeq and is a predicted model, not a curated record. The transcript is spliced from 2 exons. Lineage: Eukaryota; Viridiplantae; Streptophyta; Magnoliopsida; Lamiales; Lamiaceae.